This 63-nucleotide transfer RNA is filed under the name Olidiana longisticka. RNAcentral's name for it is "tRNA-Tyr". The record is from RNAcentral. Lineage: Eukaryota; Metazoa; Arthropoda; Insecta; Hemiptera; Cicadellidae.
GUUAAGAUGUCUGAUUAAGGUGGUAAAUUGUAAGUUUAUUUAUGAAUUAUAAUUCUCUUAAUA